Molecule: long non-coding RNA, 348 nt
Organism: Suricata suricatta (meerkat)
Lineage: Eukaryota; Metazoa; Chordata; Mammalia; Carnivora; Herpestidae
Exons: 2
Source: RefSeq, a predicted model, not a curated record
AUCAAAUGUACUCUGUCAGUCAAGUCAAUGUAAAAGUUAAAUAUCAAUGAGGACAUGGGGAUUGAAUCCACAUAUACCCCUGACAGCUGCACAAUAGUGACUGAACAAAUGUAUCUAUUCCACUCCACUCACAAGCGCAGCGGCUGUCUGAUGCCACCCAACACUACUAAUUGACUCCAUUCCUUAUGUCGGACCUGUUAUCCCUGACUUACUCGUCCCAUAACUGGAAGCCAUUACCUCCCACUCUCUGCCCCCGACAGUUUGUUCUAUUUAUGGUCUGUUUCUGCUUUUUGUUUAUCGUUUGCUCUGUUUUGUAGAUUCCACGCAUAAGUAAAAUCAUAAAACCUC